UUCAUGUACCACCAAUAGUACAAGGAUCUACUGGAAAGAUGAAAACAGCAAUGAUGAUGGGGCUCCAGAUCCGAGAACAGUCCAGUUCAAACCAAACAGGAAACCAGGCAUACAAUUUGGAAGAUUGUCUAGACACACAUUGAAGUUAUUGACCUCUCCUGUUGAUUUCUUUAAAUUGAUUUUAACUGGUACAUUGCUAACAUCUCUCUGCUUGUCUACAAAUCAACAUGCUGCAUACCAUAUCAGGAAUGGUAGAUUUCAGUCAUAUGCUGGACCUACUGGAACUUGGGAAGUUGUUACAGAGCAGGAAAUGGAAAAGUUCAUUGGUAUAUUGAUAUACAUGUCCUUUAUGAAACUCAGUACUGUUGACCGCUACUGGAGUAGAGAUGUCCUGUACAGAUUCAACCCUGUUCCAUUGUGUAUGUCAUGCUUAAGAUUUAAGGCCAUCCUUUCAUUUCUACAGAUCACACCUUUACCUGAUGUUGACAAAGAUAAUAAACUAACAAGAGUAGAACCAAUCAUUGAACAUGUAAGAAAUAUUUCAAGGGAACUUUUUCAACCUUAUGAAAAGAUUGCUGUUGAUGAAAGAAUUGUUAGGUCAAAACAUAAAUGGAGUGGAAUAAGGCAAUUCAUGAAAGAUAAACCUGUAAAAUUUGGGAUUAAGCUUUGGGUAUUAGCUGAUACCAUUACUGGCUAUACAUGUGAUUUUUAUGUUUAUUAAGGAAAAAAAAAACUCAAAUAACUAAUUUAUCAAAAGGUCUGGCAUAUAGUGUAGUUAUGAAUUUAAUGCCAAGUUAUUGUAAUCAAG
This is a long non-coding RNA of Mytilus californianus (California mussel), 808 nucleotides long. RefSeq lists it as uncharacterized. NCBI's taxonomy places the organism in Eukaryota, Metazoa, Mollusca, Bivalvia, Mytilida, Mytilidae. The transcript has 4 exons. The record is from RefSeq and is a predicted model, not a curated record.